RNAcentral lists this ribosomal RNA (396 nucleotides) under uncultured bacterium. RNAcentral's name for it is "bacterial SSU rRNA". It matches the Rfam family "Bacterial small subunit ribosomal RNA", at positions 29 to 428 of the family's 1533-position model. The record is from RNAcentral.
AUUGAACGCUGGCGGCAUGCCUUACACAUGCAAGUCGAACGGCAGCACGGGAGCAAUCCUGGUGGCGAGUGGCGAACGGGUGAGUAAUACAUCGGAACGUGCCCAGUAGUGGGGGAUAACCCGGCGAAAGCCGGACUAAUACCGCAUACGACCUACGGGUGAAAGCAGGGGAUCGCAAGACCUUGCGCUAUCGGAGCGGCCGAUGUCAGAUUAGCUAGUUGGUGGGGUAAAAGCCUACCAAGGCGACGAUCUGUAGCUGGUCUGAGAGGACGACCAGCCACACUGGGACUGAGACACGGCCCAGACUCCUACGGGAGGCAGCAGUGGGGAAUUUUGGACAAUGGGCGCAAGCCUGAUCCAGCCAUGCCGCGUGCGGGAAGAAGGCCUCGGUUGUAA